RNAcentral lists this long non-coding RNA (366 nucleotides) under Dromaius novaehollandiae (emu). RNAcentral's name for it is "lncRNA (ENSDNVG00000012412.1)". The record is from RNAcentral. Lineage: Eukaryota; Metazoa; Chordata; Aves; Casuariiformes; Dromaiidae.
CAUCAGAAACAAUUCCUUCCCCAGAGCAUUACUGAUCUAAGUGAAGACUAAGGACAGCCAAGAGUGACCUUUCUAUGAUUGAGUCUUUGAGGGCUCUGAAAAUGUAACCUGUGUUUGGGCCUGAAGGUCUUUGUUUUACUUCAAAUGGACUGUUGGAGAAGCAGGAUGAGUAGAAAAAUUGGACCUGGGACUCUUGAGCUCUUACCUCUGCCUUGGGAACAGGGAUGGUGCAAGGUGCUGAGCCGGGGACCCAGGAGCCUGCAGGCCUUGCCCUGCCAAAGGAGGGCAGAAUUCGAUCUUCAUAGUUGUGAAGGGCUGACAGCACUAAAAGUAGAGUGGAGAGAAAAAGUACCAGGGCUACUUUGA